GACGAACGCUGGCGGCGUGCCUAAUACAUGCAAGUCGAGCGCAGGAAACUGACGGAACUCUUCGGAGGGAAGGCAGUGGAAUGAGCGGCGGACGGGUGAGUAACACGUAAGGAACCUGCCUCAAGGAUUGGGAUAACUCCGAGAAAUCGGAGCUAAUACCGGAUAGUUCAACGGACCGCAUGGUCCGCUGAUGAAAGGCGCUUCGGCGUCACCUUGAGAUGGCCUUGCGGUGCAUUAGCUAGUUGGUGGGGUAACGGCCCACCAAGGCGACGAUGCAUAGCCGACCUGAGAGGGUGAUCGGCCACACUGGGACUGAGACACGGCCCAGACUCCUACGGGAGGCAGCAGUAGGGAAUCUUCCACAAUGGACGAAAGUCUGAUGGAGCAACGCCGCGUGAGUGAUGAAGGUUUUCGGAUCGUAAAACUCUGUUGUAAGGGAAGAACACGUACGAGAGGAAAUGCUCGUACCUUGACGGUACCUUACGAGAAAGCCACGGCUAACUACGUGCCAGCCGCCGCAGUAA
Molecule: ribosomal RNA, 524 nt
Filed under: uncultured bacterium
Lineage: Bacteria
Description: partial 16S ribosomal RNA
Rfam family: Bacterial small subunit ribosomal RNA
Source: RNAcentral